RNAcentral lists this ribosomal RNA (208 nucleotides) under uncultured bacterium. Its description in RNAcentral is "partial 16S ribosomal RNA". It matches the Rfam family "Bacterial small subunit ribosomal RNA", at positions 32 to 234 of the family's 1533-position model. The record is from RNAcentral.
AAUCAACGCUGGCGGCGUGCCUAACACAUGCAAGUCGAACGAGAAAGUGGAGCAAUCCAUGAGUAAAGUGGCGACCGGGUGAGUAACACGUGACUAACCUACCCUGAAGUGGGGAAUAACCUCGGGAAACCGGGGCUAAUACCGCAUAACAUCGCGAGCUGUAAACGCUUGUGAUCAAAGGAGCAAUUCGCUUUUGGUAGGGGUCGGC